GUUGGGGGGUGCGGGGUGGAGAGCCUGAAGAUGGGGUUGUUUGGGGGGUGGAGAGCCUGGAGUGGGGGUACGUUGGGUCGUGGAGACCUCAAAGUUGGGGUACAUUGGGUGGUGGACCCCAAAGUGGGGGUACGUUGGGUGGUGGAGACCCCGAAGUUG
RNAcentral lists this long non-coding RNA (159 nucleotides) under Numida meleagris (helmeted guineafowl). RNAcentral's name for it is "lncRNA (ENSNMEG00000002543.1)". The record is from RNAcentral. Lineage: Eukaryota; Metazoa; Chordata; Aves; Galliformes; Numididae.